UUCGACUGUUUACCAAAAACAUAGCUUCCCGAAUUUAUAAGAAGCGAAGUCUGCCCGGUGACUAUAGUUAAACGGCCGCGUAAGUGCUAAGGUAGCAUAAUCAUUUGCCUUUUCAUUGGAGGCUAGUAUGAAUGGAUCAACGAAGCUUUUCUGUCUCUAAUUAUAAAAUUAAAAUUGAUUUAUAGGUGAAAAAUCCUAUAUUAAAAUGAAGGACGAGAAGACCCUAUAGAGUUUAAGUAAAAUUAAUAUAGAAAUACAUUAAUUUACUUUUAUUGGGGCAAUAAUAGAACAACAAAACUCUUUUUUAUAAAGUAUUAUGAAAAUAAUUUUAUUCCUCAAAGAGAAAUUAAAAACUACCUUAGGGAUAACAGCGUAAUCCUACCUGAGAGAACUAAUCGAAGGAAGGGCUUGCGACCUCGAUGUUGGACUAAGGAAACUCCCAGGUGCAGAAGUCUGGAAAGUAAGCCUGUUCGGCUUUUAAAUCCUUACNUGNAUUUGAGNUUCAUUCCGUAU
RNAcentral lists this ribosomal RNA (513 nucleotides) under Bicellariella ciliata edentata. Its description in RNAcentral is "partial 16S ribosomal RNA". It matches the Rfam family "Bacterial large subunit ribosomal RNA", at positions 1795 to 2621 of the family's 2925-position model. Lineage: Eukaryota; Metazoa; Bryozoa; Gymnolaemata; Cheilostomatida; Bugulidae. The record is from RNAcentral.